AUGCUCGCUUCGGCAGCACAUAUACUAAAAUUGGAACAACACAGAGAAGAUAAGCAUGGCCCUUGCGCAAGGAUGACACGCAACUUCGCAAAGCGUUCCAUGUUUUU
This is a small nuclear RNA of Delphinapterus leucas (beluga whale), 107 nucleotides long. The record is from Ensembl. Lineage: Eukaryota; Metazoa; Chordata; Mammalia; Artiodactyla; Monodontidae.